GUCGUGAGACAGUUCGGUCCCUAUCCGUCGUGGGCGUAGGAAAUUUGAGAGGAGCUGUCCUUAGUACGAGAGGACCGGGAUGGACAUACCUCUGGUGUACCAGUUGUCGUGCCAACGGCAUAGCUGGGUAGCUAUGUAUGGACGGGAUAAGUGCUGAAAGCAUCUAAGCAUGAAGCCCCCCUCGAGAUGAGAUUUCCCAACUUCGGUUAUAAGAUCCCUCAAAGAUGAUGAGGUGAAUAGGUUCGAGGUGGAAGCGUAGCGAUACGUGGAGCUGACGAAUACUAAUCGAUCGAAGACUUAAUCAAAA
RNAcentral lists this ribosomal RNA (307 nucleotides) under Staphylococcus delphini. RNAcentral's name for it is "partial 23S ribosomal RNA". It matches the Rfam family "Bacterial large subunit ribosomal RNA", at positions 2618 to 2925 of the family's 2925-position model. The record is from RNAcentral. Lineage: Bacteria; Bacillati; Bacillota; Bacilli; Caryophanales; Staphylococcaceae.